UACGAAGGGGGCUAGCGUUGCUCGGAAUCACUGGGCGUAAAGCGCACGUAGGCGGCUUAUUAAGUCAGGGGUGAAAUCCUGGAGCUUAACUCCAGAACUGCCUUUGAUACUGAUGAGCUUGAGUCCGGGAGAGGUGAGUGGAACUGCGAGUGUAGAGGUGAAAUUCGUAGAUAUUCGCAAGAACACCAGUGGCGAAGGCGGCUCACUGGCCCGGUACUGACGCUGAGGUGCGAAAGCGUGGGGAGCAAACAGG
Molecule: ribosomal RNA, 253 nt
Filed under: uncultured bacterium
Lineage: Bacteria
Description: partial 16S ribosomal RNA
Rfam family: Bacterial small subunit ribosomal RNA
Source: RNAcentral